ACGAACGCUGGCGGCAUGCCUAACACAUGCAAGUCGAACGAGACCUUCGGGUCUAGUGGCGCACGGGUGCGUAACGCGUGGGAACCUGCCUUUAGGUCCGGAAUAACUCAGAGAAAUUUGAGCUAAUACCGGAUGAUGUCUUCGGACCAAAGAUUUAUCGCCUUUAGAUGGGCCCGCGUUGGAUUAGCUAGUUGGUGGGGUAAAGGCCUACCAAGGCGACGAUCCAUAGCUGGUCUGAGAGGAUGAUCAGCCACACUGGGACUGAGACACGGCCCAGACUCCUACGGGAGGCAGCAGUGGGGAAUAUUGGACAAUGGGCGAAAGCCUGAUCCAGCAAUGCCGCGUGAGUGAUGAAGGCCUUAGGGUUGUAAAGCUCUUUUACCCGAGAUGAUAAUGACAGUAUCGGGAGAAUAAGCUCCGGCUAACUCCGU
RNAcentral lists this ribosomal RNA (431 nucleotides) under uncultured bacterium. RNAcentral describes it as "partial 16S ribosomal RNA". It matches the Rfam family "Bacterial small subunit ribosomal RNA", at positions 29 to 506 of the family's 1533-position model. The record is from RNAcentral.